RNAcentral lists this ribosomal RNA (889 nucleotides) under uncultured Bacteroidota bacterium. RNAcentral's name for it is "bacterial SSU rRNA". It matches the Rfam family "Bacterial small subunit ribosomal RNA", at positions 28 to 916 of the family's 1533-position model. The record is from RNAcentral. Lineage: Bacteria; Pseudomonadati; Bacteroidota.
GAUGAACGCUAGCGGCAGGCCUAACACAUGCAAGUCGAGGGGUAACAGAGAAGCUUGCUUCUGCUGACGACCGGCGCACGGGUGCGUAACGCGUAUGCAACCUACCUCAUACAGGAGAAUAGCCCUUGGAAACGAGGAUUAAUACUCCAUGGUAUCAUUCUUUCGCAUGUUAGAAUGAUUAAAGAAUUUCGGUAUGAGAUGGGCAUGCGUCCCAUUAGCUAGUUGGUGAGGUAACGGCUCACCAAGGCGACGAUGGGUAGGGGGCCUGAGAGGGUGGUCCCCCACGCUGGUACUGAGACACGGACCAGACUCCUACGGGAGGCAGCAGUGAGGAAUAUUGGUCAAUGGAGGCAACUCUGAACCAGCCAUGCCGCGUGAAGGAUGACGGCCCUAUGGGUUGUAAACUUCUUUUAUAUGGGAAGAAACUUAUCUACGUGUAGAUAACUGACGGUACCAUACGAAUAAGGAUCGGCUAACUCCGUGCCAGCAGCCGCGGUAAUACGGAGGAUCCAAGCGUUAUCCGGAUUCAUUGGGUUUAAAGGGUCCGUAGGCGGAUUUUUAAGUCAGUGGUGAAAGCCGACAGCUCAACUGUCGAACUGCCAUUGAUACUGGAAAUCUUGAGUACAAAUGAAGUAGGCGGAAUGAGUCAUGUAACGGUGAAAUGCAUAGAUAUGACUCAGAACACCGAUUGCGAAGGCAGCUUACUAACAUGUAACUGACGCUGAGGGACGAAAGCGUGGGGAGCGAACAGGAUUAGAUACCCUGGUAGUCCACGCCGUAAACGAUCAUCACUCGCUGUUGGCGAUAUACUGUCAGCGGCCAAGCGAAAGUAUUAAGUGAUGCACCUGGGGAGUACGCCGGCAACGGUGAAACUCAAAGGAAUUGACGG